RNAcentral lists this ribosomal RNA (162 nucleotides) under Pleurophragmium triseptatum. RNAcentral's name for it is "partial large subunit ribosomal RNA". It matches the Rfam family "Eukaryotic large subunit ribosomal RNA", at positions 99 to 261 of the family's 3401-position model. The record is from RNAcentral. Lineage: Eukaryota; Fungi; Ascomycota; Sordariomycetes.
CGGCAACAGCUCAAAUUUGAAAUCUGGCUCUUCUAGGGUCCGAGUUGUAAUUUGUAGAGGAUGCUUUUGGUGCGGUGCCUUCCGAGUUCCCUGGAACGGGACGCCUUAGAGGGUGAGAGCCCCGUACGGUUGGACGCCUAGCCUCUGUAAAGCUCCUUCGAC